Molecule: ribosomal RNA, 350 nt
Filed under: uncultured bacterium
Lineage: Bacteria
Description: bacterial SSU rRNA
Rfam family: Bacterial small subunit ribosomal RNA
Source: RNAcentral
ACGGGAGGCAGCAGUAGGGAAUCUUCCACAAUGGACGAAAGUCUGAUGGAGCAACGCCGCGUGAGUGAAGAAGGUUCUCGGAUCGUAAAACUCUGUUGUGAGGGAAGAACAAGUACCGGAGUAACUGCCGGUACCUUGACGGUACCUCAUUAGAAAGCCACGGCUAACUACGUGCCAGCAGCCGCGGUAAUACGUAGGUGGCAAGCGUUGUCCGGAAUCAUUGGGCGUAAAGCGCGCGCAGGCGGUCCCUUAAGUCUGAUGUGAAAGCCCACGGCUCAACCGUGGAGGGUCAUUGGAAACUGGGGGACUUGAGUGCAGAAGAGGAAAGCGGAAUUCCAAGUGUAGCGGUG